GAUGAACGCUGGCGGCGUGCCUAAUACAUGCAAGUCGAGCGAAUGGAUUAAGAGCUUGCUCUUAUGAAGUUAGCGGCGGACGGGUGAGUAACACGUGGGUAACCUGCCCAUAAGACUGGGAUAACUCCGGGAAACCGGGGCUAAUACCGGAUAACAUUUUGAACCGCAUGGUUCGAAAUUGAAAGGCGGCUUCGGCUGUCACUUAUGGAUGGACCCGCGUCGCAUUAGCUAGUUGGUGAGGUAACGGCUCACCAAGGCAACGAUGCGUAGCCGACCUAGGAGGGGGAUCGGCCACCCUGGGACUGAGACCCGGCCCAGACUCCUCCGGGAGGCAGCAGUAGGGAAUCUUCCGCAAUGGACGAAAGUCUGACGGAGCAACGCCGCGUGAGUGAUGAAGGCUUUCGGGUCGUAAAACUCUGUUGUUAGGGAAGAACAAGUGCUAGUUGAAUAAGCUGGCACCUUGACGGUACCUAACCAGAAAGCCACGGCUAACUACGUGCCAGCCGCCGCGGUAA
This 515-nucleotide ribosomal RNA is filed under the name uncultured bacterium. Its description in RNAcentral is "partial 16S ribosomal RNA". It matches the Rfam family "Bacterial small subunit ribosomal RNA", at positions 28 to 523 of the family's 1533-position model. The record is from RNAcentral.